UCAAGAAACUUCCACAAUGGGCGAAAGCCUGAUGGAGCGACGUCGCGUGAUGGACGAAGUGCCUCGGCACGUAAACAUCUUUUAUGUGGGAUGAAAUUAUUGACAGUACCACGUGAAUAAGGGGCUCCUAACUCUGUGCCAGCAGGAGCGGUAAUACAGAGGCCCCAAGCGUUAUCCGGAAUCACUGGGCGUAAAGGGUGUCGAGGCGGUUGUAUUAGUCGUUCGUAAAAUCUACGAGCUUAACUUGUAGGCGGCGAACGAAACGGUACGACUUGAGGUUUGGAGAGGUGCGUGGAACUCACGGUGUAGGGGUGAAAUCCGUUGAUAUCGUGGGGAACACCAAAGGCGAAGGCAGCGCACUGGCCAAAAUCUGACGCUCACACACGAAAGCUAGGGUAGCGAAGAGGAUUAGAUACCCUCGUAGUCCCUGAGCGGGCUGGCAAGGCGCAU
Molecule: ribosomal RNA, 450 nt
Filed under: uncultured bacterium
Lineage: Bacteria
Description: bacterial SSU rRNA
Rfam family: Bacterial small subunit ribosomal RNA
Source: RNAcentral